GGCCUCUGCGUCCUAGAAUCCAAGAUGGCGGGAUCCAGGCGAAAGCGUCCCCAGGCCCGAUCGCGACCGUUUUUCUAUGCCCUGCUGCUGUCUCUCAGUCGUCUCGUCGGGGGCGAUGGCCUGGGAGGCGACGCCAUGGCCGCCGGCGCCGCGGGCACGCCGGCCGAGCUGCCACACCGUCGUUUCGAGUACAAAUACAGCUUCAAGGGGCCGCACCUGGUGCAGAGUGACGGGACCGUCCCCUUCUGGGCCCACGCGGGGAAUGCUAUUCCAAGUUCAGAUCAAAUUCGAAUAGCACCAUCAUUAAAAAGCCAAAGAGGAUCAGUAUGGACAAAGACAAAAGCAGCCUUCGAGAACUGGGAAGUCGAGGUGACAUUUCGAGUAACUGGAAGAGGUCGGAUUGGAGCUGAUGGCCUAGCAAUUUGGUAUACAGAAAAUCAAGGUUUGGAGGGCCCCGUCUUUGGAUCCGCUGAUAUGUGGAAUGGUGUUGGAAUAUUUUUUGAUUCUUUUGACAAUGAUGGAAAGAAAAAUAAUCCUGCUAUAGUAAUCGUGGGCAAUAAUGGACAGAUCCAUUAUGACCAUCAAAAUGAUGGCGCCAGUCAAGCUUUAGCAAGUUGCCAGAGGGACUUCCGUAACAAACCCUAUCCUGUCCGGGCCAAGAUUAUCUAUUACCAGAAAGCAUUGACAGUAAUGAUUAAUAAUGGCUUUACACCAGACAAAAAUGAUUAUGAAUUUUGCGCCAAAGUAGAAAAUAUGGUUAUCCCCCCACAAGGACAUUUUGGAAUAUCUGCUGCCACAGGAGGUCUUGCAGAUGACCAUGAUGUUCUCUCUUUUCUGACUUUCCAACUAACUGAGCCCGGAAAAGAGCCGCCUACACCAGAUAAAGAGAUUUCAGAAAAAGAAAAGGAAAAGUAUCAGGAGGAGUUUGAACACUUUCAACAAGAAUUGGACAAAAAAAAAGAGGAGUUCCAGAAGGGCCACCCCGACCUGCAAGGGCAGCCGGCAGAUGACGUAUUUGAAAGUGUAGGAGAUCGUGAGCUAAGACAAAUUUUUGAAGGCCAGAACCGUAUUCAUCUUGAAAUCAAGCAGCUGAAUCGGCAGUUGGAUAUGAUUCUAGAUGAGCAGAGAAGAUAUGUCUCGUCGCUGACAGAGGAGAUUUCUAAAAGAGGAGCAGGGGUCCCAGGGCAGCAUGGGCAGAUUAGUCAGCAAGAACUGGAUACUGUUGUGAAAACUCAGCAGGAGAUUAUGAGACAAGUAAAUGAAAUGAAGAACUCCAUGAGUGAAACGGUGAGGCUGGUGAGUGGCAUACAGCACCCAGGCGCUGCCGGCGUCUAUGAGUCGACGCAGCACUUUAUGGACAUCAAGGAGCACCUGCACGUGGUGAAGAGAGACAUAGACAGCUUGGCACAGCGGAGUCUGCCAUCCAAUGAAAAACCGAAAUGCCCUGAACUCCCGCCGUUCCCGUCAUGCUUAUCUACUGUCCACUUCGUCAUAUUUGUAGUGGUACAAACGGUGUUGUUCAUUGGUUAUAUCAUGUACAGGACUCAGCAAGAAGCAGCUGCCAAAAAAUUCUUUUGACCAUCCUUUUUGUAUGUGUACAUCCUGUAUGUAUGCGCAAAAAUGUUGUCUUUUUGAGGGAACAUAAGUAUUUAAAUUACUUCAUAGGCUAAAUUAUUAAAUUUUGUAUGAAAGAAGUGUUUAAACAUUGGUUUUCAGUGAGAAUAAACCUUAAAGACAACCACAUAUAAAUGUGUUCAUAGUUCCUAAAUCUGUUUAAAUUUCAGUGAAUUUCUGAUCAGUAGAAUGCUGUCACUGAUCAGAAUACUAGAAAGUAAAAGGGUCAAUAAUAGAAAAUGGAGGCGGUCCCUUUAUUAAGAGUGUUCCCGUCUAAGUUUCCAGUAGUGGAUUUCCUUAUUUCACACAAAUGCACUUGCCUCCUACGCCCCAAAAUAAAAGGUAUAAUUAAAAUGGCCCUCAUCAUGUAUUUUGUAACCAAAGUCCUUUUUAAAGGUCAGAGUUUCCUCAUCUAACUUCCCAUCCUCAGUCCUUAACACCACUCACCCCGGAAUCGAAAACUGUUUUAUCUGAGAGCUUUAGAAUGUUGACAGUAAACUCAUAACCUAUUCAAUGAAAUGCCUUCUUCCUCUGCUAUGUUUCACUUUUAAAUUGAGAGGGAAAGUUAAGAGAGCUACUUUUUCCUAAAAACGUCAUUUAGGUGGAAACAUUCCUGUGAUAAUGAUUUUUCAUGGAUAUUUUACCUGGAAAUACAUUUAUUUCAUGGUGACCCAUGUUCUUGAAUAUUUUCAUUCCAGUGGUGUCAGUUCACUAUUAUAAGAAUCAUUUUUAUAUUUUUAAAGGAAUUUUUUUCAUCCAUUUUAUCUGGCAUAUAAUUUGCCUCUCAUUGCAUAUUCUGAGGAUAUUUAAAUUCACAAAACCUACCACUAUAUUCUGGUUACAACCACAUAACCAGAGUUUGUGACUUCUUGGAGACUCUUGAAUCAAGGAGGCUGUUGUAGGAUCAAUAUUAAGAUUUUUGAAGGCAAUAUUAGAAAAAUCAAGGCAAUUCUUGGCAUUUCUUCCUUUUGUUGGCAAAUUAAGCCAUGAAAUGUGAGACUGGAAGAUUUUAUAGUCUUUGUACAUAGUUCUCAGAAUUAGAGAAACCAUCUGUAAUGACAUUUUUUAAAGUGCAAGUUUACUUUUUGUUUUCAUAACCGAUAAAGAUUUUGCUGUCUUCAAAUUCCUUUUACCUCAUAUGUCAACUGAUUAUCUUUGAUUUGCCAUAGUAUCAGAGCACCCUCUGUUUAUGAAAUAGUAUUUUUGAGCUCUUCCAAGGCUGAGUUUUCUCUUAAAUGUCAUUUACAGAUUGGGCUGAUGACCUAAAAUCUAUGUAAAGACUUGGUGAAGAGCUCCGCACUGUGGCACACCCGUCCUGUGUGUGCAAACUGCCGCACCGCUGUCUAUGUGGGCAUUGACUCUCAAACACUAAAAGAAUAUCCUAGUGGUCACUCUACUUCAGCCACUUCAGCAUUCAGAAUGCUGCUCUCACAGUUUUUUUGUUGUUGUGUUAAUAUUUUGAAAUUCAUGUUUCAGAGACAUCAGCAUCACAGAAUUGACCAUUUAUGUCAUGAAAUAAAAUACCUUUAGAAGAAUUUGAAUUGUAGACCUACGAAGCUUGGGAAAUCCUCUUGAGGUCAAAACCUGCCAAAUCCAGUAUUACUUUAAAGUCCCUGGUCACAUGUGCCUGAACAAGAACAGGAAUUCCAGAUUUAUGCAGAAUCCGUAUUUCAGGCUAGAAUUCAAGGGGAAUCAUCCUGCUCGUUCCUGAAGCACAUGCAGGCAGUGAUAUGGGACAUGAGCUCAGUCAUGUGGUUCACGCAGGAGGCUUCUCUUACUGUUGGAAGCUUGGUUUGUCUUCCUCAAAAUCGUUGACUCUUUUAAGUUGCUCAUUUCUGAGCAAAAGUGUUUGCUCUGUGGAAAAGUUAUAUCACUGCCAGAAUUUCAUUUUCUUUAUUCUUACAUGUAAUUGAAUUAAUUCACUUCUCUCUCACACCAGCAAGUAUUUUACAGGUGCCUUGAAUU
RNA transcript from Dipodomys spectabilis (banner-tailed kangaroo rat), 3579 nucleotides. It is a transcript of the gene named lectin, mannose binding 1, with no coding region annotated. The transcript is spliced from 14 exons. The record is from RefSeq and is a predicted model, not a curated record. NCBI's taxonomy places the organism in Eukaryota, Metazoa, Chordata, Mammalia, Rodentia, Heteromyidae.